GUCAGAAUGUUUAUCUUGAUGAAAUCUGGGUUGGAAUUGUAUUUGGGUCAUCUGAGGUCAAAAACUAGGUCACUAGGUCAAAUAAUAGAAAAACCGUCAACAAUUUGUUUGUGUAGACAGUAGAGGUCACAGUUUUCAUCCAAUCUUUAUGAAAUUUGGUCAGAAUGUUUAUCUUGAUGAAAUCUGGGUUGGGAUUGUAUUUGGGUCAUCUGGGGUCAAAAACUAGGUCACUAGGUCAAAUAAUAGAAAAACCGUGUGUAGACAAUAGAGGUCACAGUUUUCAUCCAAUCUUUAUAAAAUUUGAUCAGAAUGUUUAUCUUGAUGAAAUCUGGGUUGGGAU
This is a long non-coding RNA of Dreissena polymorpha, 340 nucleotides long. RefSeq lists it as uncharacterized. The transcript is spliced from 2 exons. NCBI's taxonomy places the organism in Eukaryota, Metazoa, Mollusca, Bivalvia, Myida, Dreissenidae. The record is from RefSeq and is a predicted model, not a curated record.